Molecule: ribosomal RNA, 495 nt
Filed under: uncultured bacterium
Lineage: Bacteria
Description: partial 16S ribosomal RNA
Rfam family: Bacterial small subunit ribosomal RNA
Source: RNAcentral
GACGAACGCUGGCGGCGUGCCUAAUACAUGCAAGUCGAACGCUGAAGGAGGAGCUUGCUUCUCUGGAUGAGUUGCGAACGGGUGAGUAACGCGUAGGUAACCUGCCUGGUAGCGGGGGAUAACUAUUGGAAACGAUAGCUAAUACCGCAUAAUAGUAGAUGUUGCAUGACAUUUGCUUAAAAGGUGCAAUUGCAUCACUACCAGAUGGACCUGCGUUGUAUUAGCUAGUUGGUGAGGUAACGGCUCACCAAGGCAACGAUACAUAGCCGACCUGAGAGGGUGAUCGGCCACACUGGGACUGAGACACGGCCCAGACUCCUACGGGAGGCAGCAGUAGGGAAUCUUCGGCAAUGGACGGAAGUCUGACCGAGCAACGCCGCGGGAGUGAAGAAGGUUGUCGGAUCGUAAAGCUCUGUUGUAAGAGAAGAACGAGUGUGAGAGUGGAAAGUUCACACUGUGACGGUAGCUUACCAGAAAGGGACGGCUAACUACGUG